UACGGAGGAUGCGAGCGUUAUCCGGAUUUAUUGGGUUUAAAGGGUGCGCAGGCGGGAUCUUAAGUCAGCGGUGAAACGCCGGAGCUCAACUCCGGCCCUGCCGUUGAAACUGUUUUUCUUGAGUAAAUUCGAGGUAAGCGGAAUUCGUAGUGUAGCGGUGAAAUGCAUAGAUAUUACGAGGAACUCCGAUAGCGCAGGCAGCUUACCAGACUUUAACGGACGCUGAGGCACGAAAGUGUGGGUAUCAAACAGG
RNAcentral lists this ribosomal RNA (253 nucleotides) under uncultured Candidatus Azobacteroides sp. Its description in RNAcentral is "partial 16S ribosomal RNA". It matches the Rfam family "Bacterial small subunit ribosomal RNA", at positions 524 to 776 of the family's 1533-position model. Lineage: Bacteria; Pseudomonadati; Bacteroidota; Bacteroidia; Bacteroidales. The record is from RNAcentral.